CGGGUUUUAUUCAUCCGUUUAAUUUUCAAAUUCUUUUUUAAUACAAUUCAUCGUUCUACGAUUUGUUCUCCGAUUUCCGGGUUGUUUGUCUUCGUUCUGGGUUUUAUACCUGUUUUUCUUGAGUUUCUGUUUUUUUUCGUUUGUCUUUGAUGUUGUUCGGCUUUCUUUGUCCUCGGUUUCUUUGUCCUGACUUUAGGCUGCAACUGCUUUUCUAUGUCGUUAGAUUUCUUCAUCUGCUUUCAUUUAUACUUCGGAGUAUAUUCGAUCGUAGUAAACAGAUAAUUAACUGGUUAUUUUUUCGUCCGGAGGAUUUACUAAUCGGUCGAAUAAUUACAACCCGAUAAUGUGAAAAAUAUUUAUCCCUAAUUUUAGAAUCAUAUUUGAAACCCUAUUUUCGUUUGAUCCUUACUUUCAAAUUGCUAUUGACCGUCACAAGAGAUUUCGUAACAGGCGGUCUUGUAAAAGGCGAUCUAUAAUGGAUUAGUUCUGGGAUUCCUCCGGGAUUUAUUCAUUUGUUUGAGUUUCAAAUUCUUUCUUACUUUAAUUCAUUCGUACUAAAGAUUUGUUCUACCAUUAAGUUUCUCCGAUUUGCGGGUUGUUUGUCUUCGUUCUGGGUUUUAUACCUUUUUAUCUUGAGUUUCUGUUUUUCUUUUCUUUGUUGUUGUUCCGGCUUUGUCUGUCCUGGCUUUCUUUGUCCGCGGCUUUUGGCUGCUACUGGUUUUCUUUCAUCUGCUUUCGUUUCCGCUUCUUCAUGCGUUUCAUUACGUAUUGAUUUAUUAACAACUGAUUUUUUCUAUCACGUAUGUUUCCUAAAAGUUAGUUAUAUUUUUUCAACAAUAUAUUAACUGUCGCCAUUUACAUCUUUCAAAACUUCUACUAUUUCUGCAGAUGACCAAUCUGGAAAUGGAAAGUUAUCAUGACUACAAGAGACAGAUCAAACAGUGUUCUGCAGGUGCCGUCAAAACGAGUUGUUGUUAAUCGUGAGGAUCUUCUUAAAAAAUGUGCAUAUUCUUUGAAAAAAAAACGAAAGAUUCUGCGCAUUAAUAAGAGGUUUAUUGCUAGAAUUACUCUCUCUAUUUAAUACACGUUAAUGGAUUUUACAUCUGUAAAACCAGUAUCAUGAUUCUAUAAAAAUCUGACAUUGGAUUUAAUAUUGUAUUAAAAUCUGAUGACACUCUGGCCGACAUUGAAUCGAUUUGACAAUAUGACAAGUUUAGUUUUAUAUUUUAUUAAUUUUUUACAUAUAUCUAGAAGAA
Molecule: long non-coding RNA, 1256 nt
Filed under: Zostera marina
Lineage: Eukaryota; Viridiplantae; Streptophyta; Magnoliopsida; Alismatales; Zosteraceae
Description: long non-coding RNA (ZMAR_LNC001295)
Source: RNAcentral